This 497-nucleotide ribosomal RNA is filed under the name uncultured bacterium. RNAcentral's name for it is "bacterial SSU rRNA". It matches the Rfam family "Bacterial small subunit ribosomal RNA", at positions 8 to 507 of the family's 1533-position model. The record is from RNAcentral.
AGAGUUUGAUCAUGGCUCAGGAUGAACGCUAGCGGCAGGCCUAAUACAUGCAAGUCCGAACGCUCAGUAGCAAUACUGGGAGUGGCGCACGGGUGCGUAACGCGUACACAAUCUACCUCUAAGCGGGGGACACCUCCUGGAAACGGGGAUUAAUACCGCAUAAUAUGCCGAAGUCGCAUGACUUUGGUAUUAAAGCAGCAAUGCACUUAGAGAUGAGUGUGCGUCCCAUUAGGUAGUUGGUGAGGUAACGGCUCACCAAGCCUAUGAUGGGUAGCCGGUCUGAGAGGAUGGUCGGCCACACGGGCACUGAGACACGGGCCCGACUCCUACGGGAGGCAGCAGUAAGGAAUAUUGGUCAAUGGUGGAAACACUGAACCAGCCAUGCCGCGUGGAGGAAUAAGGUCCUACGGAUUGUAAACUCCUUUUGACGAGGAAGAAAAUGUUAGAUUUAUCUAAUUUUGACGGUACUCGUAGAAUAAGCACCGGCUAACUCCGUG